GCGCUGGUAGCUCAGUUGGAUAGAGUGUUUGGCUACGAACCAAAAGGUCGGGGGUUCGAAUCCCUUCCAGCGUACCA
This 77-nucleotide transfer RNA is filed under the name Ruminococcus sp. RNAcentral describes it as "tRNA-Arg". It matches the Rfam family "tRNA". From Rfam's summary of the family: Transfer RNA (tRNA) molecules are approximately 80 nucleotides in length. Their secondary structure includes four short double-helical elements and three loops (D, anti-codon, and T loops). Further hydrogen bonds mediate the characteristic L-shaped molecular structure. tRNAs have two regions of fundamental functional importance: the anti-codon, which is responsible for specific mRNA codon recognition, and the 3' end, to which the tRNAs corresponding amino acid is attached (by aminoacyl-tRNA synthetases). tRNAs cope with the degeneracy of the genetic code in two manners: having more than one tRNA (with a specific anti-codon) for a particular amino acid; and 'wobble' base-pairing, i.e. permitting non-standard base-pairing at the 3rd anti-codon position. RNAcentral also lists the same sequence under 1 other name. The record is from RNAcentral. Lineage: Bacteria; Bacillati; Bacillota; Clostridia; Eubacteriales; Oscillospiraceae.